This 253-nucleotide ribosomal RNA is filed under the name uncultured bacterium. RNAcentral's name for it is "partial 16S ribosomal RNA". It matches the Rfam family "Bacterial small subunit ribosomal RNA", at positions 524 to 776 of the family's 1533-position model. The record is from RNAcentral.
UACGUAGGGUGCAAGCGUUAAUCGGAAUUACUGGGCGUAAAGCGUGCGCAGGCGGUGAUGUAAGACAGGUGUGAAAUCCCCGGGCUUAACCUGGGAACUGCAUUUGUGACUGCAUUGCUGGAGUACGGAAGAGGAAGGCGGAAUUCCCGGUGUAGCGGUGAAAUGCGUAGAUAUCGGGAGGAACAUCAGUGGCGAAGGCGGCCUUCUGGUCCAGUACUGACACUCAAGUGCGAAAGCGUGGGGAGCAAACAGG